UCCGGUUUGACACCGGCAGUCCCCCCAGAGUCCCCGGCUUAACCCGCUGGCAACUGAGGGUAGGGGUUUCGCUCGUUAUGGGACUUAACCCGACAUCUCACGACACGAGCUGACGACAGCCAUGCAACACCUGUACUCGGUUCCGGGUUGGGUACCGUUCGUCCCCGUUUCCGGGUCCUACCUCCGAGCGCUUUCGCACAUGUCAAGUCCGGGAUAAGGUUCUUCGCGUAGCCUCGAAUUAAGCCACAUGCUCCACCGCUUGUGUGAGCCCCCGUCAAUUCCUUUGAGUUUCAGCCUUGCGGCCAUACUCCCCAGGCGGAGGACUUAGCACUUUCGCUCCGGCAGUAAGCCCAUGUCAGCCUACUACCUAGUCCUCAACGUUUAGGGCCAGGACUAC
Molecule: unclassified non-coding RNA, 397 nt
Filed under: uncultured Planctomycetia bacterium
Lineage: Bacteria; Pseudomonadati; Planctomycetota; Planctomycetia
Description: contains 16S-23S intergenic spacer region
Source: RNAcentral